UGUGAGGGCGAUCUGGCUGCGACAUCUGUCACCCCAUUGAUCGCCAGGGUUGAUUCGGCUGAUCUGGCUGGCUAGGCGGGUGUCCCCUUCCUCCCUCACCGCUCCAUGUGCGUCCCUCCCGAAGCUGCGCGCUCGGUCGAAGAGGACGACCUUCCCCGAAUAGAGGAGGACCGGUCUUCGGUCAAGGGUAUACGAGUAGCUGCGCUCCCCUGCUAGAACCUCCAAACAAGCUCUCGAGACAGCUUUUUAGAAUGAAACUGAGUACAGGUUUGGAGCAACAGGCUGAGAUCUGUGUUAGUUAGGUUUUCUAUUGCU
RNAcentral lists this small nuclear RNA (315 nucleotides) under Rattus norvegicus (Norway rat). RNAcentral's name for it is "7SK RNA". It matches the Rfam family "7SK RNA". From Rfam's summary of the family: 7SK was discovered as an abundant small nuclear RNA in the mid-70s but a possible function has only recently been suggested. The record is from Rfam by way of RNAcentral. Lineage: Eukaryota; Metazoa; Chordata; Mammalia; Rodentia; Muridae.